ACUUGAAUAUUAGGAGUUAUGGGCUUUAAAUUCAAAGAAUUUGGCGGUAUUUUAGUCUUGUUAGAGGAACCUGUUCUGUAAGCGAUAUUACACGUAUAAUCUUACUUACUUUUGUUUUAGCUUGUAUACCGUCAUUAUUAGAUAACCUUUAUUGAGAGAGUUAUUGGCCUAUAAAAAAAUUAGAUAUAUUAGAUCAAGGUGCAGUUAAUGGGUAAGUAGUAAUGGGUUACAAUGAAAUUUAUUUAAACGAAUUAAUGUUUGAAAAAUUAUUAUGAAGGAGGAUUUAAUUGUAACAUAAAUUUAAUAAGUUUAUGUGAUAUGAGAACUAGAAUAUGUACAUAU
RNAcentral lists this ribosomal RNA (342 nucleotides) under Cherax preissii. RNAcentral's name for it is "partial 12S ribosomal RNA". Lineage: Eukaryota; Metazoa; Arthropoda; Malacostraca; Decapoda; Parastacidae. The record is from RNAcentral.